AACGAACGCUGGCGGCAGGCCUAAAACAUGCAAGUCGAACGAACCUUCGGGUUAGUGGCGCACGGGUGAGUAACACGUGGGAAUGUGCCUCUGGGUGCGGAACAACGUCGGGAAACUGACGCUAAUACCGCAUAAUGUCUACGGACCAAAGAUUUAUUGCCCAGAGAUCAGCCCGCGUCUGAUUAGCUAGUUGGUGAGGUAAUGGCUCACCAAGGCGACGAUCAGUAGCUGGUCUGAGAGGAUGAUCAGCCACACUGGAACUGAGACACGGUCCAGACUCCUACGGGAGGCAGCAGUUAGGAAUAUUGGACAAUGGGGGCAACCCUGAUCCAGCCAUGCCGCGUGUGUGAAGAAGGCCUUAGGGUUGUAAAGCACUUUCGGCUGUGAAGAUAAUGACAGUAGCAGAAGAAGAAGCGCCGGCUAAAUUCGUGUCAGCCGCCGCAGUAA
RNAcentral lists this ribosomal RNA (447 nucleotides) under uncultured bacterium. RNAcentral describes it as "partial 16S ribosomal RNA". It matches the Rfam family "Bacterial small subunit ribosomal RNA", at positions 29 to 523 of the family's 1533-position model. The record is from RNAcentral.